This 265-nucleotide ribosomal RNA is filed under the name uncultured prokaryote. Its description in RNAcentral is "partial 16S ribosomal RNA". It matches the Rfam family "Bacterial small subunit ribosomal RNA", at positions 524 to 789 of the family's 1533-position model. The record is from RNAcentral.
UACGUAGGGUGCGAGCGUUAAUCGGAAUUACUGGGCGUAAAGCGUGCGCAGGCGGUUUGCUAAGACAGGUGUGAAAUCCCCGGGCUUAACCUGGGAACUGCGCUUGUGACUGGCAGGCUAGAGUACGGCAGAGGGGGUGGAAUUCCUGGUGUAGCAGUGAAAUGCGUAGAUAUCAGGAGGAACACCGAUGGCGAAGGCAGCCCCCUGGGCCUGUACUGACGCUCAUGCACGAAAGCGUGGGGAGCAAACAGGAUUAGAUACCCGU